GAAGACGGACUAAUACCCAAUGAUAUUCAUUGAUGACAUCUGAUUUGAAUUAAAGAUUUAUCGGUAUAGGAUGGGGAUGCGUCUGAUUAGCUUGUUGGUGAGGUAACGGCUCACCAAGGCCACGAUCAGUAGGGGUUCUGAGAGGAAGGUCCCCCACAUUGGAACUGAGACACGGUCCAAACUCCUACGGGAGGCAGCAGUU
This 202-nucleotide ribosomal RNA is filed under the name uncultured Prevotella sp. RNAcentral describes it as "partial 16S ribosomal RNA". It matches the Rfam family "Bacterial small subunit ribosomal RNA", at positions 154 to 355 of the family's 1533-position model. Lineage: Bacteria; Pseudomonadati; Bacteroidota; Bacteroidia; Bacteroidales; Prevotellaceae. The record is from RNAcentral.